Molecule: ribosomal RNA, 253 nt
Filed under: uncultured bacterium
Lineage: Bacteria
Description: partial 16S ribosomal RNA
Rfam family: Bacterial small subunit ribosomal RNA
Source: RNAcentral
CACGGGGGGAGCAAGCGUUGUUCGGAAUCACUGGGCGUAAAGGGCACGUAGGCGGCCUGAUAAGUCGGGGGUGAAAUGCUGCGGCUUAACCGCAGCACGGCCUUCGAGACUGUCGGGCUUGAGCACGGUAGAGGCAGAUGGAAUUCCCGGUGUAGCGGUGGAAUGCGUAGAGAUCGGGAAGAACAUCGGUGGCGAAGGCGGUCUGCUGGGCCGUUGCUGACGCUGAGGCGCGACAGCGUGGGGAGCAAACAGG